AGGAUUAAAAUCUCUUGGUAAAUCAUACAUCAUGAUACGUGGAGUUCAUGUAACACUGUGUAGUAUCAGGCUGAUGUAGGGGUGCAAAAGUCACCAGCUAAGACCCAGGGGCAGUUUCUCCAGCCACAGGAUUCAUCCUAGAGAAUGAUUAAAGGAGGUAAGGAAGUCCUUCAUGGGGAAAGGGAGAAAAGAACCUAAGUUUACAUCUAAUGGGGCACUUGGGAAGUAUGGAAGUUUUUCUAAUUUAAGUCUGAAUUUGGAUGACAACUUCAGCCAAAAAAAAUGACAAGAGAAAGACAUCUGUGUGGAGAGGCAUUGUCAUCUAUCAGAGCAAUGGAUACAGCAGGAAAGAAAGAAGAGGCAAGGCUCUUCUACCUGGAAUUUUGUCUACUGUUUUCCAACCCUACUGACUGGCCUAUCAUUUGAUCCCCAUGGCCACAGUUCCAGAGAACCUCACAACAACUGAAUAUUUUAUGGUUGAAUGAUGGAUGAAUACGGAUGCCACAGUUACAAACUUUCCCAUCACACUUCUGAUGAAGAACAGAGGGGUUUGCAGCAAUCACACACCACUAAAGAUUCAAAACAUUUGGACUGAGGAAUGUUUUGGACAAAGGAAAGUUUAUUAAGGCUGGACAAGUAUGUUUUAAAGUUUUGGAAGCGUCUUGCCUUUAUAAAUAAAACUGCCGUUAGCCAUUAGAUAGGGUCUGGACACUGGAGUAACUCAUGUUCUCCAUCUGCCCCUGAGGCUUUCUUUUCCUUUUCCAGUGAAUUUUAUCUUUAAACAUUUUUAACGCAUGAAAUACACUUCAGUAUAUUUCACUGGGCAGUGAAAUUCAACCUACCCUAAAGUCUGGAAGGCAAAUAUAUUUGUAACCAGUUCAUUCUCUGAAGUACUUCUUUCUGCAUGUGUUUUCUUUUUUCUUUGUUUGUUUUCUAGCUUGUUACUAAAAUGAAUAUGUGCUUCUUAAUUACAGGUUUAUUUUCUGAUUUAAUUGCUGUUGUUUGGGCAAUAUUUCUCUGAAUGUACACCUACUACUGAGGUGUCUUUGUAAUGGAAUAGCCAUAUUUUACUACAGUAAAAUCUGUCUCUUAUUUCAGCUUCAUGGUAACUUGAGUAAAUCUUAGAUAAGACGAGGCUUUUUAUUUUUUUUCAUCACUUUCUUUGCUAAUGCUCUUAAAACAGUGUCUGAAGUGGAAUUUGGAAGUUUCGUAUUGCACUGUUUCUUAAAGAAAACUAUUGCUCUGCUUGCCAUCCUAGCAGCAAGCUCUGAUAAAUGUCCCUCCAUUUGUACUGUACAGUGUUAAUGUAAUUCUUCUUCCUGUAACUGGCUCUGAGCAGGCUGUGCUACAGCAAAUAAGUUCCUUGGGUUACCCCGGUGCCUCCAUCAACCACCAGAGCUGGGAGACCACUGAAUAGGACUGGCAGCUCUGUGUGCUCUCCUGCAGCACAGUCAAGUUUAUACUUUACCACUCAGACUGUGGCACAUACAGAGCAGCCAUUACCACUUAACAUAUACUGUUUAAACUCUGUUGAAGUUUAUUCCUACACUGAGAAACCUCCUCAGCACCUCUUUUCACAUUUUGAGACAUCCUUGAUUUAGACAGAAUUGAUUUGAGCUCCCUCAUCAUGAAACAAUGUUGAAAUGAAAAAUAACAGAUGCAAGGCAGAGACACUGGAAUGAAGGACCUUCCACUACUUUAUCUGUAUGACAAGAGAACUUAAGGCAUUAACAAAAAUAAUACUGUUGUUCUUUUUUUGUUGUUCUCCAGGCAAUUUUUUUUCUACUCUUUGUUUACUUGCUAUGAAUCAUCUCCUCUUAAGAAUUCAUUGUGCAGAUUUAUAUAAGGAGACAAAGAACUGUUUAAUCAUCUGGUCUACCCUGUUCAGAGUGCAAACCUGGCACUAUACCAGCAGGAGUGCCAGUGUCUCAGUGAAAGGCAAAGCAGCAACAUCCCCUGGUAGUUCUUGCUCCAGGAGUUGAGGUCACAACUAUACAGUGUAGGAGGGCAGCCUGCUCCUCACCACCUCUGCUUCACUGGGACCACAUCCAGGUGCCUUUGGAAGAUCUUCAAGGAGGUGACUCCUAAUAAACUAUUAUUCUCUUCUGUAAGGAAGAACAUUCAUUUUUAAUUCUUCACUUCAUCCCCAGAGAACUAGGGUGCAAUGAAAAACUCUCCUUUAACAUGUCCAAGUGAAGGGCCAGGCUCCAUGCCAGUUACAAAUUCCCUAUUCCAGGCGAUUAACAACUGACAGUUGAGCUGUUAAUGUCGAAAGUAGCCUGAUCCUCACUUAUCAUCUGCAUCAUGAAGAAAAUGCCACUUGUGAAGGGUUUCUGAAGAAGCUGCUAAAUGAAGGUGACAGACUGCUAAAUGAAGGUGAAGUUUCCUUGUGUGUGCAUGUAGUUAACAGCACUUAUUUUUAUUUCCAUAAACUCUGACACACAGUUUAAGUCAUGUUCAACCCAAUUCCUUCCCAGCACAAACUCAAGUCCACACUUGUGUUUGUGUCUUGUUCACCAAGUCUGCCAUCCCAGCCAGAAGGUUCAAGAAAACCUUCAUUUUAAUGCUCUUCAGUUCCACAUCUGUUUCCCAUCAAAUUUUUUUUAGAUUUCCCUAAUGCCUUUUUUUAAAAAAAACUGGUCUCAGCCUGAUCCUAUGGAGAAGAGGAAAGAGAAUUUGCCUAACUUCCUGUGUAACAGUGGAGGCACGAAGAAAGGAAGAAGAAAUAGAAUUUACAUAAGGCAAUCAUUGAUUAAAAAUCCAAGUACAAGGUAUGAUUGAUUGCAUCUCCUGCUUCUGUUAUUUUUGAAGCAUUAAGGACAUGAAUAGCUCAAUGGGUGACAAGAAAAGUGUCAGGUUGUUAAAAAAGUUGCAGACUCAUGCCUUUAGAUCUAAAAAUUAUCGAGCUGCAGCUCAAAGGUGAAAAACUUACCCUCAGGCGAGGAGGGUGUGACUCAUCAUCUCAACAUAAAAUGUACAUAACAGACUUCUGAAUAAAUUUGGUCUUGAUAAGAUCUGUGAAGGCCAAGUUGAAGUGACUGGAGAUGAAUACAAUGUGAAAAGUGUGGAUGGAAAGCCUGGUGCUUUCACAUGUUACCUUGAUGCAGAUCUUGCCAGAACUACUACUGGAAACAAAGUCUUUGUGUGAAAUAAUCAGAUGCUAUGUAUGGGAAAAGGACCACAACAGCUGUGACACAUUUUUACUCUUUUCAUUUGCACACUUGGUCCAGAUUUGGCCUCUCUUACUCAAUUUAAAUAGUUCCUCACCAUGUAGUCAUGAAUGCAAAUAGGACUGUAUGGAAACUGAUGUGCUACCACUGCAAGGCAAGAUAAUCUGAAGACAUUGUUUUGUUUAAACUUUCUCUGUACAUAUACUCAUAAAUAUGAAAUAAAAUACUCAAUACAAACGUAAAAGGA
Gallus gallus (chicken) is the source of this 3417-nucleotide long non-coding RNA. RefSeq lists it as uncharacterized. The record is from RefSeq and is a predicted model, not a curated record. Lineage: Eukaryota; Metazoa; Chordata; Aves; Galliformes; Phasianidae. The transcript has 2 exons.